AGCGAACGCUGGCGGCGUGCUUAACACAUGCAAGUCGAGUGCGCAGUUUUUCCGCCGCAAGGCGGAGAAAUGGGCGCACGGCGCACGGGUGCGUAACACGUGGACAAUCUACCCUUUGAUGGGGAAUAACCCGCCGAAAGGCGGGCUAAUACCGCAUAACAUCCCAGUCGCUUCGGCGAUAGGGAUCAAAGCCCGCAAGGGCGUCAUUGGGAGGAGUCCGCGGCCGAUAGCUAGUUGGUGAGGUAAUGGCUCACCAAGGCUUGGAUCGGUAGCGGUCUGAGAGGACGAUCGGCCACACUGGAACUGAGACACGGUCCAGACUCCUACGGAGGCAGCAGUGGGGAAUCUUGCGCAAUGGGCGAAAGCCUGACGCAGCGACGCCGCGUGGGGGAUGAAGCUUCUCGGAGUGUAAACCCCCUUUCGACCCGGACGAAUGACCCGC
This 442-nucleotide ribosomal RNA is filed under the name uncultured bacterium. RNAcentral's name for it is "bacterial SSU rRNA". It matches the Rfam family "Bacterial small subunit ribosomal RNA", at positions 29 to 457 of the family's 1533-position model. The record is from RNAcentral.